This is a non-coding RNA of Arachis ipaensis, 724 nucleotides long. The record is from RefSeq and is a predicted model, not a curated record. Lineage: Eukaryota; Viridiplantae; Streptophyta; Magnoliopsida; Fabales; Fabaceae.
AUAGGUCCUAAACCAUGACCAUAGAUCUAUGGUCACCCUUUUUACUAGCUAUGGUCACGGUUAGGCCUUUUUUUUUAGUGAGCUGCUGUGGAUGAUGAAGAGGAGGCAACAAGACUAGAAGAGAUGUUCUGUGAGGAAUCAAUGGAAGAUGUUAAGCAACUGAAGCAGCAGCAGCUCAACCUCCGGAAGCUCAUCUAAAAUCUCCAACAAUUUCACAACCUGUUCUUGAUUCAGUUAUGCCUCAUUCAGUUAGGCCACCAAGUGCAAAAAGACCCCCUAAGAAGAAGAAGAAUCUGAAAAGACCCCACUAACUACUCAUCUACCACCAUGUGCUCAAUCACUUGUGAGGCCACCAACACCAAAUGUGUAACUAUCAGUAAAGCCAUCACCUCCAACUACUCAUGUGCCCCCACUAUGACACCUCAAACCAUGCAAGAUGCCUCUCAGAAAACUACUUCAAGGUUCAUGGACUUUAUGCCAACUCCUACAAUUAGAGGAUCAAGUUCAACUAGGUGGCCACAGCCAAGCUUUCAUCCACCAGCAAGCUAAGAAAAGGGUCAACCACUGCACAAUUGAAUGGAGGAUCAAACAGAAGCAGCAAUUCUACUCCAAAUUCACGAAGCAAACAUGUUUAAAUUAUGUUAUUUUGUUGGAUAUGUAGUUUAUGUUAUUUUGUUAGAUAUGUCACAUACUUUACUCUAUUUUAAUUAUGUUUUGGUUUUUU